RNAcentral lists this long non-coding RNA (1446 nucleotides) under Homo sapiens (human). Its description in RNAcentral is "HSALNT0105182". The record is from RNAcentral. Lineage: Eukaryota; Metazoa; Chordata; Mammalia; Primates; Hominidae.
ACUGCAAGCUAUAAACUCUGCAAGUGGUGCACCCGACGUGAUCGCCUUGAAGUUAUGCGUGAAAGGAGGAGAGCUCAUCAAUUUUAAGAAAAUCCCGGUAAGGGACAGUCCUGACUACCAUCAGGUGGACAGGACCCACGCGAAAAAUACCAGGGGUUCGGUUAUCAUGGGUCAGGAAAUGAACAAAGAAUAAUUUUUUUUUUUUUUUGAGAUGGAGUCUCACUCUGUCGCCCAGGCUGGAGUGCAGUAGCGUGAUCCCGGCUCACUGCAACCUCCACCUCCCUGGUUCAAGCUAUUCUCCUGCCUCAGCCUCCUGAAUAGCUGGGAUUACAGGUGCACGUCACCCCACAACAGGACUUAAUUAACCUUGCCUUCAAGGUGUACAAUAAUAGAGAAAAGUUACAAUUACUUGCCUCUGCUGUGAGACAAAACCCAGCUGCACCUCCAGCACACGAGAACUUCAAAAUGCCUAAGCCGCACAUGCCUAAACCGCAGUGGUCAAGCAUUCCUACAGGACCUUCUUCAUCAGGAUCUUGCUUCAAGUGCCAGAAAUCUGGCCACUGGGCCAAGAAAUGCCCACAGCCCGGGAUUCCUCCUAAGCCGUGUCCCAUCUGUGCAGGACCCCACUGAAAAUCAGACUGUCCCACUCGCCUCGCAGUCACUCCCAGAGCUCUGGGAUCUCUGGCCCAAGACUCUCUGACUGACUCCUUCCCAGAUCUUCUCAGCUUAGCGGCUGAAGACUGAUGCUGUCUGAUCACCUUCGAAGCCUCCCGGGCCAUCACGGACACUUUGGGUAACUCUUACAGUGGAGGCAAGUAAAUGACCUCUUUCUUAUUUGGUUGUGGCAUCAAACUGCUUGUGAGGAGAUUAAGAUUGUUUCAGAAGAAAUAUAAAGAGAAGGAAAUGGUAAUAUGCAUCUAUUGAAAUUCAAAAUAGGAUUUUGCAGCAAGACAAUGGACUUGAAAACUGGACUAUGAGAAAGAAAUUGUUUUCUGCAUUCAUUUAGCUCCCAUUUAACAUAAUCAAGAGCCAGAUCUAGAAUCAAGUUUCUACCAAAGGAGGAGAUCACAGGAGUGCAAGAGGCCAAGCCAAACUACAAAAGCACAUUGAAAGCAUCUGCUUGCAUCGUGUCCUCUGACAUUCUGUUGGCACAAGCAAGUCACACAGCAAAGGGGAUGGAUGUACACUUAAAUAAUAAGGAGGAAGCAAAGGAUUGGGAAUAACAGUCCAAACCACCACAGGGCCCUACCUACCCCCAAGAAGUAAUAUCCUCAGAUUGAUCUGGGAAAUCCAAGAGCAGAUGAUGUUUCCCAUGUGCCAAGAAUAUCAGUGGAGUAUCACACAGAGGGCCCCAAAAGCCAGCACGCCAAGGAUGAUGGAGCAGGAUGAAGAGACCCUGGGUCUUAGAUAAUAUCGUUAGGGGGCUUACUGGCUGCUGACCUCCGG